GAUGAACGCUGGCGGCGUGCCUAAUACAUGCAAGUCGAGCGAACGGACGAGAAGCUUGCUUCUCUGAUGUUAGCGGCGGACGGGUGCGUAACACGUGGAUAACCUACCUAUAAGACUGGGAUAACUUCGGGAAACCGGAGCUAAUACCGGAUAAUAUUUUGAACCGCAUGGUUCAAAAGUGAAAGACGGUCUUGCUGUCACUUAUAGAUGGAUCCGCGCUGCAUUAGCUAGUUGGUAAGGUAACGGCUUACCAAGGCAACGAUGCAUAGCCGACCUGAGAGGGUGAUCGGCCACACUGGGACUGAGACACGGUCCAGACUCCUACGGGGGGCAGCAGUAGGGAAUCUUCCGCAAUGGGCGAAAGCCUGACGGAGCAACGCCGCGUGAGUGAUGAAGGUCUUCGGAUCGUAAAACUCUGUUAUUAGGGAAGAACAUAUGUGUAAGUAACUGUGCACAUCUUGACGGUACCUAAUCAGAAAGCCACGGCUAACUACG
Molecule: ribosomal RNA, 495 nt
Filed under: uncultured bacterium
Lineage: Bacteria
Description: partial 16S ribosomal RNA
Rfam family: Bacterial small subunit ribosomal RNA
Source: RNAcentral